Molecule: ribosomal RNA, 524 nt
Filed under: uncultured bacterium
Lineage: Bacteria
Description: partial 16S ribosomal RNA
Rfam family: Bacterial small subunit ribosomal RNA
Source: RNAcentral
UGGGGAAUAUUGCACAAUGGGCGAAAGCCUGAUGCAGCAACGCCGCGUGAGUGAUGAAGGUCUUCGGAUUGUAAAGCUCUGUCUUUUGGGACGAUAAUGACGGUACCAAAGGAGGAAGCCACGGCUAACUACGUGCCAGCAGCCGCGGUAAUACGUAGGUGGCGAGCGUUGUCCGGAUUUACUAGGCGUAAAGGGUGCGUAGGCGGAUGUUUAAGUGAGAUGUGAAAUACCCGGGCUUAACUUGGGUGCUGCAUUUCAAACUGGAUAUCUAGAGUGCAGGAGAGGAGAAUGGAAUUCCUAGUGUAGCGGUGAAAUGCGUAGAGAUUAGGAAGAACACCAGUGGCGAAGGCGAUUCUCUGGACUGUAACUGACGCUGAGGCACGAAAGCGUGGGUAGCAAACAGGAUUAGAUACCCUGGUAGUCCACGCCGUAAACGAUGAGUACUAGGUGUAGGAGGUAUCGACCCCUUCUGUGCCGCAGUAAACACAUUAAGUACUCCGCCUGGGAAGUACGGUCGCAAGAUU